RNAcentral lists this long non-coding RNA (520 nucleotides) under Anas platyrhynchos platyrhynchos (common mallard). Its description in RNAcentral is "lncRNA (ENSAPLG00000016606.1)". The record is from RNAcentral. Lineage: Eukaryota; Metazoa; Chordata; Aves; Anseriformes; Anatidae.
CCACAUUUGGAUUAAUGUGCAUGUACAGCUGUGAUCAGACAGUUGCAGAGGGCUGUUGAACUCUCACUCUGUGGAAAUAUUUGGUAGAAUCUAAAUUGGAGCUUUGUUGCUACUGCUCCUCUGCCCUACAUCUAUUCCAUCCGCCUGGAGAUGAAGGUCUGCUCAACUCUGGUCUGAGGAGGCUGCUAAAGAAUAAUGCCUGCCAAGCACAUUAUAUCUGGAUCUGAUUUUCACCCUUUAUCACACCAAAGGAUAGCCCUCACCAACCCACAAUGUAAGCUGCAGAAUGUUGAUGAGAACGAGAACCAAGGAGUCCAGAACACGCAGCCCAGUGCCAACAAGGUAACUGCUCCCAAAAAGACACCUUCCAAAGGAGAACAGCUGAACCUAGAUUCUUCCCAUUUAAAUCACUUAUAAUUGAUGCAUGGUGUGAUAUGGCUGUGGUUUAAACCACAGGUUUCACUGCUGUGCAAAGAAUAUAUUUCUAUUUCUACUUUUGCCUAUUUUACCCUGCAUUUAU